RNAcentral lists this long non-coding RNA (3861 nucleotides) under Anas platyrhynchos platyrhynchos (common mallard). RNAcentral's name for it is "lncRNA (ENSAPLG00000018907.1)". The record is from RNAcentral. Lineage: Eukaryota; Metazoa; Chordata; Aves; Anseriformes; Anatidae.
AUGAAUAAGAAAUUAAAUGGCUCAGGACUGGGUCAUGGCUUGCCAAGUAUCAGCCUGGGGAGGUGUUCUGUAACUCUGCGAAAAAAUGUCUUCAAGCACAUGAGCAGCCAGCAGUCUGGGGCCUGGACCUGCUGCCAAAGAACUGCAGACAGUAAAAUCACAGCCUGUGAGUGGAGAAAGUUGCAAAAUCUGGGGCCAAAUGGACCAACAUGUCCACAUUCUCACAAUGCUGCUCUCCAUCCUGACGCAACCUCACUCCUCUCAGAGCCAGUUGGUCACCCUUUACCUUUGGAUGGAGUCUCCAGAGAGGUGAGCCUCACAAAAGGAAAUUAAGAAAAUUUCCCCCUAAAUCCCAUCCAUAACCUGCCUAAAUCUCCUUGGAGAGAUGACUCACGCUGUGAAGUACUCUAGGAGCUUGCUCAUCAGAAACACUGUUGGAAAAUAUGGUCUCGUGUUCCUGUGAUGUUGUCUUUAGUUGCCAGGUCUGAGGGAUUUCCAGAGCUUCAGAGGGUCACUGUUGCCUCACAGAGCAACAGAAAGGCUGCCCAGGACCUCGGUACAUGAAUAUCACUGGUUACAAUGGGAACUGUUUCAUAUGCCUGCAUGGAGUGUCACGGGGACCUCUCCAGACCCUUCGUGCUCCUUGCUGCUCCGGUGGCUGUUUGCAAUGCAUCUGCCUCCAAGUGCAGAGCUGUGUGUGCUGGCAGGGGAUGCAGCAGGGCUCAGGAUCAGGAUGAAUACCACCCCUGGAUCCCAACUUACUCCUUGCAUAAUGCAGUUUUAAAACCAGAAGGGGCUGAUCUGCCAGUUCAGGCAGUGCACAAGUUGGUCAAAACUUGCAGAUAACUGGUGAUUGGCAGAGAUUUCACGUGUGAGCUUCCCCUGCCUCUGGGCAGCACCCUUGGAAGGUUUCCUCCCCACGCCGUGGCACUGGUGAUCCACCCUUUUCCUCACCGUGCUGGUGCGUGGCCCUGGGGUGCAAUGACGAGGAGGAAAGAAGGGGAAUGUGAUACUCCCGAGGGUGCCCCAUCAGAAGGGGCCCUGCAUUAUAAAGAUCCUGCUUUUGAAACACAACAGCUCUGAAAGUGUCGGUUAUUUAAAUUGUUUGUGAGCCUAAAAACCGGGGUUUGGAUGGUCUUUCACAGGCAUGGCACUGUAGAGUGCUCCCAGCUCUAUCAUCCCCAGCUAGCACCUCCCAGCUGGGAGAAGGAGAGCUCCCGUGGUGACUUUUGGAGUGCCACAGGGUUGUAGCACAAUGGGGUAAAGAUGAGGUUCAGACAGCAAAGCCAAGCUUCCAUGUGUAAAGCAUGCUUUCCUUGCAGGGAUCCCCUUUCUAUUACUCAUCCUAGUGACAAUAAUGUUGUGUAAAACCAGCCAGCCUUUGCCUGACACAACCUUCAGCAAAGCAGCAUGCCCACCUUGCCUGGGGAAGAGAGGAGAAAUGCUGCUGCGAGCUGAAAUGCCCUGCUUGCCUCCUGAAGGCACUGCCAGAGCUCCCCAUCAUCGUUGCUGCCCCAGACCCAGCAGAUGGCACUGCUGCCUGGGGUUUCUCCUGGUCCAAGGGCAGGAUCUGCCUCCAGCACGCUCAGAUGGGGAGGGAGAGGAGGAGAGGGCUGCAGGGCGAGCCUGGUGAGGCAGGGUGAGCUCUGCCAAAAUCUCAGCAUCACAGUAUGGUGGAGGCUGAAAGGUAACUCUGGAGACUGCCCAUCCCAAACCCUUGCACAAAGCAGGGUCAGCUAGAGAAGGUUUGCUUGGCACUGUGUCCAGCUGGGUUUUGAAGAUCUCCAAGGAUGGAGACUACACAACUUUUCUGGGCAGCCUGCACCAGUUUUUGACCACCAUCACAGUCAAAAAAAAUUUUUUUUUUUUUUGUUUGUUUUUUUGUUUUUAUAUUAAAUGGAAUUUUUGGUAUUCCAAUUUAUACCCAUUGCCUCUUGUCCUGUCACUGGGCACCACUGAGAGAAGUCUGGUUCAGUCUUACUACUCCCAUCAGGUAUUUAAAAACAUCAAUAAGAUCUUCCCUGAGUCUUUGCUGCCUGUUGGUAUUUCUCCUUACUAUCUUAUGAAACAACAACAACAUUUAAUAUAUGCCCUAUACAAGUCAGCAGGGUGCCACCUAGAGAGAAUCUCACGGGGAGAAGCAUUUCCAUAUUUCGUGCCUAACUAUGGGACUGAGAUCACAGCAAGAUGCGUACUUCAGCACAUGGUAGGUGUUUCUCUCUUUUAAAUAGAGACAGCCAACUCCAAAAUUUUGGAUCAAACUAUUCCCGACUUUGGGGGAGAGAUUUCAAGCCCAGAUCUCGGUCUCUUGAAGCUUCGCUGUUGAUAGAUGCAAAACAUUGAAGACUUUUCUGGAACUUGGUCCAGGUGCAAAAGCUGUGUAACUGGUUGAGCUUUUUUUUUUGCUAAAGCUUUUAGAAAGAUUAUCUGGCCUGUUCUAUCCAUAUUGGACCCUUCCCAUCAUGAUAACUGGCUCCUAAUAGCAGGCUGGGUAAGGAGUUUCUACUUCCCUGGUGUUUUCUCUUGACAAGCAUUGGCUCCUCCAGCCAGAGGUGUCUGCAUGCCAAGCCACAAUAUUCCUCCCAGCGUGUUUUACAUAGAGCUUUAUUUAUUUAUUUCUGUGCUGCAUCCUGCUAGCUUGCCAGUGGAAAUCUGCCUGGGGGAUUUGUUUCAUGUCUCCCGCAAUGGGACCUGGAAAUCUGCCUUCUCAGCUUUACCAAAACUCUUCUGGCCAAUAUUAGGAGAGGAUGCCAGAAUAUAGCAGCUCCUGUAGUGCAUGGGAAAUGCAUCUCCCUUGCUGGCUAAAGACUUUUGCUCUUUGAUGGUUCCUUUCUUCACCAUCACCAUCACAGCCACUUUCUCCUCUUCCCCCUCUUCUUCCUUCUCCACCUCUUUUCCCUUCUCCUCUUCCUCUUCCUCCCCUUCCUCCUCCUCCUCCUCUCCCAUCUCUUCCUUCUCCUUUAGAUCUGCAGUUAAUAAUGCAUUUGUUUUCCAGAAGGCAAAGGAGUAUCUUGCAGCCCUGCCAAGGAGCCUUAUCUGCACACUACACCUGAAAUUUAAGAUUCCUCUGUAGUCAUGGAGCAAUAUUUAUCAUGCCUUUUCACUGACCAGAUUUACUAGUUCCAGCCCCCUAAAUUCUUGCCUAACAGAAGUCUCGAAACCUAUUUUGUUAAUGAUCAGUUUCAUCCCUGCUUCCUAAGAACAGAGACAAAAGAUCUUCCUUCAAAGUAACGUUUAAAUCUAAGCAUUAAACAAGUGAUAUCACAAGGCUUAUAUUGCUGCACUUGUUGAAUCUAAACACAAGACUGUGUUGUUGAAUGUAUGAGUCCUUCAGAUGUGUUGCAUGUUGAGAUAGAAAGGCAAGCUAAAAUGCUGCCUGAUGCAAACCUGGCUACGGUAAGCAGAAGGCUGUCAGAUGAUUGUAAUGGCUCUUUGGUCCCAAUUUAAUUUAUUUCAGUCCAUGGGAUUUUGCAUUUUACUUUAUGAGUUCCUAGAUUUUGGCUUUCAGCACUUCAUUCAAAUCAACUGUCUACAAGGAAGCCUUCCUGGAUAUGCUCUUGGCUUUGGUUUAGAAAAUUUCUUUACAGGAGCAUCAGCCGUAAGUGAGUGUUGAGUCAAGUUUCAAAAAUGCUGCUCCACACCAGAAAAGAAGAAAGAUGUGGCAGUGGGUUUUGGAAGAGCUACAGUUUGGCUCUUCAGUAUGACAUCAUGGGAAAGCAUCACCACUGAGCUGUUGCCAUGCCAAGAAUACAGAAGAUGCUGAAGAUAAUGAAGAGAUUCCAAAUGUCCUGAAUGUUGUGUCACUGAAACAAUCCUAAUGUUUGCAAUAAAAACUUACUGAAAACACUUAAAGAAUAGUUC